GCGGAUAUGGUGGAACGGUAGACACGCUGUCUUGAGGGGGCAGUAGCAUUGCUGUAUGAGUUCAAAUCUCAUUAUCCGCACCA
RNAcentral lists this transfer RNA (83 nucleotides) under Fusobacteriaceae bacterium. RNAcentral describes it as "tRNA-Leu". It matches the Rfam family "tRNA". Rfam says of the family: Transfer RNA (tRNA) molecules are approximately 80 nucleotides in length. Their secondary structure includes four short double-helical elements and three loops (D, anti-codon, and T loops). Further hydrogen bonds mediate the characteristic L-shaped molecular structure. tRNAs have two regions of fundamental functional importance: the anti-codon, which is responsible for specific mRNA codon recognition, and the 3' end, to which the tRNAs corresponding amino acid is attached (by aminoacyl-tRNA synthetases). tRNAs cope with the degeneracy of the genetic code in two manners: having more than one tRNA (with a specific anti-codon) for a particular amino acid; and 'wobble' base-pairing, i.e. permitting non-standard base-pairing at the 3rd anti-codon position. The record is from RNAcentral. RNAcentral also lists the same sequence under 1 other name. Lineage: Bacteria; Fusobacteriati; Fusobacteriota; Fusobacteriia; Fusobacteriales; Fusobacteriaceae.